This 253-nucleotide ribosomal RNA is filed under the name uncultured bacterium. RNAcentral's name for it is "partial 16S ribosomal RNA". It matches the Rfam family "Bacterial small subunit ribosomal RNA", at positions 524 to 776 of the family's 1533-position model. The record is from RNAcentral.
GACGAACCGUGCGAACGUUAUUCGGAUUCACUGGGCUUAAAGGGCGCGUAGGCGGGCUCGCCAGUCCGGGGUGAAAUCUUUCGGCUUAACCGGAAAAGUGCCUCGGAUACUGCGAGCCUUGAGGGAGGUAGGGGCAUGUGGAACUUCCGGUGGAGCGGUGAAAUGCGUUGAUAUCGGAAGGAACGCCGGUGGCGAAAGCGGCGUGCUGGCCCUCUUCUGACGCUGAGGCGCGAAAGCCAGGGGAGCAAACGGG